GAUGAACGCUGGCGGCGUGCCUAACACAUGCAAGUCGAGCGCGAUUAAGUGGAGUGAGAACUUCGGUUCAAGUGAAACUUAUGAAAGCGGCGGACGGGUGAGUAACGCGUGGGUAACCUGCCCCAUACAAAGGGAUAGCCACUGGAAACGGUGAUUAAUACCUUAUAAGUCGGUAGUCUCGCAUGAGACAGCCGACAAAGAUUUAUCGGUAUGGGAUGGACCCGCGUCUGAUUAGCUAGUUGGUGAGGUAACGGCUCACCAAGGCGACGAUCAGUAGCCGACCUGAGAGGGUGAUCGGCCACACUGGAACUGAGACACGGUCCAGACUCCUACGGGAGGCAGCAGUGGGGAAUAUUGCACAAUGGGCGCAAGCCUGAUGCAGCAACGCCGCGUGAGUGAUGAAGGCUUUCGGGUCGUAAAACUCUGUCCUAUGGAAGAAAAAAUAGACGGUACCAUAGGAGGAAGCCCGGCUAACUACGUGCCAGCAGCCGCGGUAAAG
This 499-nucleotide ribosomal RNA is filed under the name uncultured bacterium. Its description in RNAcentral is "bacterial SSU rRNA". It matches the Rfam family "Bacterial small subunit ribosomal RNA", at positions 28 to 525 of the family's 1533-position model. The record is from RNAcentral.